CACCCCUUCGCCUUCUUUCCCAGUCCUCCCCACCCCUCAGCAUCCCUACCGUGUUACCCACCCCUCAGUCUCCGAUGCUGCAUGAAGGAUUUCCCCCACUUCCCGCGGGAUACGCACUAAAAUCGCCCUCAUAAUAAUGGACUCGCUGUAAAUUGAUGCGCUAAUGACAUUUUAUUUAGUCUUCAAAUAUGAAUCAUGCGUCUGAUAUUCCAUCUGUGUCUGCUCGCUAGCAUAUUUCUUUCCGUGCCAUCUUCUAUCGCCUCAAUCUCAACGGUUUCCAGCGCCGUGCAGAAUGAGGAUCUCAGGGAUCAGCUCGUGUCUGAGACCCCGCGAGAAGCGACAGCAGCGGCACAGGGCAAUUCCACGGGAAGAAAAUCGGAAGAGCAUGAGGUCACCGUCACAUAUCCCUCCCGGCUCAUUUACUACUUGAAUGAGGAUUCGGAGAGCACGUAUCAUGAUCUGGACACUCGGGCGAGGAACCAGGCCGGGGAUGGACAGGACGUCCACCUGGCCCAAGCAAGUUUCCAGCUGGACGCCUUUGGCACCACAUUCACUCUGGACCUCACUUUGAACAAUGAUCUGCUCUCUUCAGAUUAUAUGGAGAUCCACUAUGAGAACGAUAAGCCAGUUCUCUCCAGGGGCGGUGAACACUGCUACUACCACGGCCACGUGAGAGGAAAAGAAGACUCCCGUGUAGCUUUAUCCACCUGCAAUGGACUUCAUGGGAUGUUUGAUGAUGGUAAUUUUGUCUAUCUCAUCGAGCCUCUGAAACUGACUCACACCGUGGAAACAGAGGCACGACCCCACACUUUGCGACGAACAUCAUCGCUCCAUGUGACCUCUGUCCCAGGUGACUGGGCUGCUGAUGACCCAGUUGAGGAAAAAGAAGAGGAAAAACAUAUUUUCGCUCGCAUGCCUUGGUUAAAGAGAAGGAAGAAAAGAGCUAUGCCACGUAACGUUUUUGAGGAAAUGAAGUAUCUGGAAAUAAUGAUUGUCGCCGACCACAACACGUUUAAAAGGCAUAAGAGUAAAAAGCACACCCGGAACUCUGCCAAAUCAGUGGUCAACUUUGUAGAUGCUAUUUUUAAGGAGCAGCUGAAUACACGUGUGGUAUUGGUUGCUGUGGAGAUUUGGACUGACAGGGACCGGAUUCCUCUGAGCGUGAAGCCAUUGGAAAUGUUAAGAGAUUUUUCAAAGUACCGACAACAGAACAUCAACAUUAACGCCGAUGCCGUGCACCUCUUCACGAAUGUGACAUUUCAUUAUGGCCGGAGCAGUGUUGCAUAUAUUAGCGGUGUCUGCUCCAAAGGAAGAGGAAUCGGUGUUAAUGAGUUUGGCAGCACAUGGACAAUGGCCAUGUCUCUCUCUCAGAGUUUAGCACAGAAUCUUGGUAUCCAGUGGGAUCCUGUGAUCAGGAGGAAGGAGUGCGGCUGCAUGGAUUCAUGGGUGGGAUGUAUAAUGGAAGACACUGGAGUGCAACACCCACGCAGGUUUUCCAAAUGCAGCAUCUCUGACUACAGGAACUUCCUUCUAAGAGGCGGUGCUUCAUGUCUGUUUAACAAACCCAACAAGCUCUUUGAGGCUACAGAAUGUGGGAAUGGUUACGUGGAAGUGGGAGAGGAGUGUGACUGUGGGGCCCGAAUGGAGUGCUAUAAAGACUGCUGUAAAAAAUGUUCUUUGUCUAAUGGAGCGCACUGCAGUGACGGCCCCUGCUGCAACGGCACAUGCCUAUUCUACCCGCGGGGAUACAGCUGUCGAUAUGCUGUAAAUGAUUGUGACAUAUCAGAGACUUGUUCAGGAGACUCGGGACAGUGCCCCCCUAAUCUUCAUAAGCAAGAUGGCUACUCGUGUCAGCUCAAUCAGGGCCGCUGUUACAGUGGUGAAUGUAAGACCCGGGACAGUCAGUGUAAAUACAUCUGGGGUUCAAAGACUGGAGGGUCAGAGAAGCACUGCUAUGAGAAGUUAAAUACAGAGGGGACAGAAAAAGGGAAUUGUGGGAGAGAUGGAGACAAAUGGGUGCCCUGCAGCAAACACGAUGUGUUCUGUGGGUACCUGCUGUGCUCUAAUAUUGGGAGAAUCCCAAGGAUCGGGACACUGAAAGGUGACGUUACUCCCACCACCUUUAACCAUCAGGGGCGACUGGUGGACUGUAGCGGGGGACAUGUGCUGUUGGAUGAUGACACUGAUCUAGGGUAUGUGGAAGACGGUAUGCCGUGCGGCCCCUCUAUGAUGUGCCUUGAGCGGAAAUGUCUUCCCAUCUCCUCCCUGAAUCUCACAGCCUGUCCGUCUGGCCCCGGUGGCCGAGUCUGCUCUUCUCACGGCGUGUGCAAUAAUGAAGCAACCUGCACUUGUGAUUCUACCUGGGCAGGGACAGACUGCAGCAUGCACGACCCCCCGAAAGAGCCGCCUGUCAUCGAGGACCCGGGUCCCAAGGGUCCUAGCGCCACCAACCUUAUCAUAGGCUCCAUCGCAGGGGCCAUCCUGAUGGCAGCCAUAGUGCUGGGGGGGACGGGAUGGGGAUUUAAGGUGAGAGUUUGAGCGGAGAGGGGUGGAGGUUGUGUCGUAGGCAGCCUUUGUGCCAUGGCUGGCUGCCACACCCUCUUAUCUCCCGGAAGGCCCUGGGCCCCCUGAAAACCUAGAACAGAGCAAGAGCCCUCACCCCCCACCCGGACUCGCCCGGCACCGCUGCCUUUACUGCCUGCUUCACAGAGACCUGAAAUGUCAAGAAAAGACGAUAUGACCCUAACGCCAGUGCCAUCUAAAGGCUAAGAGAACUGCAUCCUUGCCUAGUGUGCCCCUGGGUUCUGUCAGAACCCGCUGGACUGUACCUUCUCCUGCUGCUGACGCCGUUGCCGACAGCAAUGGCGUUACUUGAAUAAAAAAGGACAGAAAGCGAGAGAAGAAAGAGACUUAAUGAUCAAACAUUUUUAAUCCAAAGUCACGUAGAACUGCUUCUCCAGCGCUGCCCCCGUUCCUUUGCCCUCUGGUCUCGAGCCUUUUAGCAACCCUGAUAACUGUUGGUGGAUGGUACCACUCAUUGGGGCAUGACUUCCGAUUUACAUGCCCCAAUCUCCGGUUCCGACCCAGGCAUGACCAGCUUCAGCUGUGGACCUCGCAUGGCAGAGGAGGGUCACCAGUGUAAGACGAACAUAUUUGUUAAUUUAAAAAAAGAACAAUGAUUUGAAGUUCCAGUUGGUGGGGAACACAUCCAUGUGUGUUUCGAGGGGCUAAAUGACUACGUCCUAUCAGAGGGACCCAUAUCUUCUUCGGACAAACAUUUCAAGGCAUAACUUUACAGUUUUUCUUUUUGUUAUUUCAGCAUGUUAUAUUGCAGGCACUUUCUGUAGUAUUAAUGAAACAAAGAAACCCAAAUGAAAAAGUAAAAAAAUCAAUCCAUUAGACUCGCAGCGUAUACAGCUGCAUGAUGAAAUCACCACUGUCAUAUAUGCAUAAUUCCCCUUAAAAAAUGUAAACUGGCUGGGCACUGCAGGGUCUGCCCUGACCUGAAUGCCAUCACUGGCCAAACAGAGAGCUGCAUGAUGUAAUUGCACUGGGGGCGGAGCCCACACAGCCUGCUGCGCUUUUCAAGGUAUCUGCAUGUCAAAGGAAAAACAGUUAACAUUUACUUACUAUGCAAAGGGGAAACAUUGCACAAACCCUAUGGUUUGGUAAAGAAUUCUCAACUGAGACAAACAAUGAAAUUUAUCUCAAGCUAGCGGAUUAUUAAUAAGGCAGUCUUUUAUAUGCUCGGCCAUCUAUGUUUGACAUUAUAAUAAGCUUCUGAUUACUUAAAAUGAAUGUUUCUAUGAAAAUCUCAGCUUCUGAAAAUUAAAAUGUCAUUGUCAUCUGUGUGGGACAGCAUAAUUGAGGCACUUGUGAUAUGAAUUAUUAUGAUUAAUAGAAUGGGGCUAUUACAGUAGAGGGAGCUCUAAUUUUGGUAAAUGUCACUGAAAUAAGAGCAGAGUGUUUUUCUAUACCAUCAUUGAUCUGCACCAUCAGGUUUUUGAACUCAUCAUCUAAACCCUGAGCUAUUUUACAGCCAUCUCAUGUUCCCAUGGAAAAAUUGCCAAAACAACAAAUAACACCAAUAAAAAACUUGACAAAAACUUU
This is an RNA transcript of Rhinichthys klamathensis goyatoka, 4110 nucleotides long. It is a transcript of the gene named ADAM metallopeptidase domain 23a, with no coding region annotated. NCBI's taxonomy places the organism in Eukaryota, Metazoa, Chordata, Actinopteri, Cypriniformes, Leuciscidae. The record is from RefSeq and is a predicted model, not a curated record. The transcript is spliced from 27 exons.